AUACUAGUUGAAAAUACAAAAAUGAAAGAGAGAUAUAAAUGAGUCAACUUGUAACUUAUAUAUUGACUAAACUAGUACCCCUAACUAACUCUAAAAUGAGUAUAACUACUUAUAUUUUAACAAUACUUAAACACUCUUAGUAAAAACAUCUCUAAAUUGUCAUGUCUCAAAAUCAUAAUACAUCACCAAAUAUAAAAUAUCAUCUCAACAGUUGAGUCAUAAAACAACAAAUAGUCAUAAGACUCCAAACAGAAAGACAUCCUAAUCAGAGUCGACACACUAGACUCCGAAAAAGCCGUAAACGAGGAAGCUCUGAGCUUUCCUCAAGCAACUCACCAAUGCAAAGCAACUACUCAUGCACGCCGUCUACCCAUCCAUACGAAUAAGGUAGGCGGUCAACUAAAUGACCACUAGGGGUUAAUUCAUAAUUCACAAUUAAACAUAAUCAAUGAAAAUAAAUGAUACAAUUAAUUUCAAUUGAUUAGGCAACUCAACAUCAUUAAUAUCCAACAAGUAUACGAAUAUAGAUAUUCACUACACAUUCCUACAUAUUCAUAGGUUCAUCAAGUUUCACCAAGUAAUACAAUUCAACAAGUAUACAAAUCAACCUGCAAAUAUUCAUCGAGCACAUAAGCAAUUAUAACACCUGUCAAGUUAUGCAAUGCGCCUAGACACGACUCUAUAUGCAUUGUGGUACCGGUCACCUCAAGGUCGUCACCUUAGAUACAUAUGUAUCAUAGUCGUCGCCAAUAUGAAUACAAAUUAUUCGUCGUCGCCAAUAUGGAUAUACAUUUCAACACCAACAUCAUGAAUGCAUGAACAUAUGACUCAAUCAAUGCAUAUGUCCAACAACAAGUCGUCAACAAUCAACAUCGACAAUUUUCAAUACAUGCAUAAACCGUCAAAGUCGUCGCCAAUUGCAUGUAAGAAUUCACCAACACAAUUCAUCAUCAUCAUAAUUAAUCAACAACAAUCAACUUAUAGAACAUAUGGUUCCAAAAUCACAAUCUUCACAAAAUACGGCCAAUUGAUCACAUCACAUCUUUCAUCUAAAUAAAUACUCAAACAUCUUCAACUCAUUCAUAUUCUAGCGUAUCAUUACAAAUAUAAAGUAAGUUGUAAGUUAACUGACCCUAAAAGUCCUAUUUGACAAGGUUCACCUAUAUUUGCGAAGACUAGCAUUUUUCA
RNAcentral lists this long non-coding RNA (1188 nucleotides) under Medicago truncatula (barrel medic). Its description in RNAcentral is "long non-coding RNA (MTRU_LNC008410)". Lineage: Eukaryota; Viridiplantae; Streptophyta; Magnoliopsida; Fabales; Fabaceae. The record is from RNAcentral.